CCCUGGUUAGCUCGGUUGGUAGAGUACUCCACUGGAAAUGGAGAGGCCCCUGGUUUGAUAACACGACCAGGUA
This is a non-coding RNA of Ixodes scapularis (black-legged tick), 73 nucleotides long. Lineage: Eukaryota; Metazoa; Arthropoda; Arachnida; Ixodida; Ixodidae. The record is from Rfam.